AAACAUGCGAUGAAGGAAUGAGUACCCGCAAGCGGGCCGUACCAGAGAGUCGGGUGGGUGGAAACCGACACGGAGACGAGCGGGGAAGAUGGUUCUGGAGCUUUCGGUGUCGAGACCUUUGCAAGCAAGCAAGGGUUGAGGCUUCGACGGGCAAGCCCGUUACAGCUGGUGCGUCUGGACAGACGCGUGGAGGCCGCUUUUGUGAGAAAGCGGUGAAGCAAGGUGGUACCACGGAGGCUACAGCUUUCGUCCCUGCA
RNAcentral lists this non-coding RNA (257 nucleotides) under Tumebacillus algifaecis. Its description in RNAcentral is "T-box sequence". It matches the Rfam family "T-box leader". From Rfam's summary of the family: Uncharged tRNA acts as the effector for transcription antitermination of genes in the T-box leader family. T-boxes are found upstream of many aminoacyl-tRNA synthetase genes and some amino acid biosynthetic genes usually in Gram-positive bacteria. Lineage: Bacteria; Bacillati; Bacillota; Bacilli; Caryophanales; Alicyclobacillaceae. The record is from RNAcentral.